This is a long non-coding RNA of Peromyscus maniculatus bairdii (prairie deer mouse), 568 nucleotides long. RefSeq lists it as uncharacterized. The record is from RefSeq and is a predicted model, not a curated record. Lineage: Eukaryota; Metazoa; Chordata; Mammalia; Rodentia; Cricetidae.
GUCUGCCUGCACGCCCCCAUGCUCCUCACCUGGAUGAUAAUGGACUACACCUCUGAAACUGGGACUCAAGAUGACGCAGCAGAGGUGGGAAGAGAUGCAUCAUCCCCCCCGGGGCUCAAGAAGUUGUUCCUGCAGAGUCCUCAAAACCACCAGGCAAGGAUCCAGGAGAAGCUGAGCAAGGCAAUGUCUUAACAACCAAACUCAAGGCAGGGAGAGCAGUGGGUGGGGGCCCCCGAGGGACCUUACCUCUCAGAGCUGAAAUUUAAUGUUCCCUUGCACGAAACUGAUCUGAGUGUGCCCUGAUGACUGCAGACUCUAGAACCAUCCACACCUGUCACAAACACAGUAGGCUUUUAUUUUUUUACAGCCUUCAAGAACCAAGACUAUUUGGCUAGUCUGGGUCCCAUGAGGCUCUGCACAGCUGGAAUGCUGGUGAGAGCUGUGUGGAUCUGCAAGCAGCUGGGCUGGACUACUGACGACAUCUCAGAACUUCCUUGAUUUCUGUUGUUUAAUGUUUGUGCUGUUUAACGGUUUUAAAAUACACUUUACACUUCUUUUGUUAACUUUA